GCCUCGAUAGCUCAGUUGGUAGAGCGCCUGGCUGUUAACCAGGAUGUCGUUGGUUCGAGUCCAACUCGAGGCG
RNAcentral lists this transfer RNA (73 nucleotides) under Candidatus Micrarchaeota archaeon CG1_02_49_24. RNAcentral's name for it is "tRNA-Asn". It matches the Rfam family "tRNA". Rfam says of the family: Transfer RNA (tRNA) molecules are approximately 80 nucleotides in length. Lineage: Archaea; Nanobdellati; Microcaldota. The record is from RNAcentral. RNAcentral also lists the same sequence under 2 other names.